UCACUUUACUAACUUCGGAGAAAUUCUAUUUUCUCUAAAAUAAAUAUUUGGGCACUUAUUUAAUAAAAUAUGGAUUCUUGGAAAAUCUCUUUCUUAAAUCUUUUCUUAAGAUUUUUCUUAAGGCUGCCCAUGGCGUCGCGGGGCGACGCCGGUCGGCCAAUUCGCGUCUCCAACUUCAACAUUUUCCAUCUUUGAAAACUUAGUAAAUUAUUCGGGAAUUAAUUAAUUAAGCUUCAAGCUCAACUUCUAAAAUUAAUUCCCUUCCAACAUGAUUUAUUUCCAAGCCCAACAAUUAGAUCUCGGUCCAACAUAACAAUAAUUAAAACCGGUCCAUUUACUAACAUUUAAAUUUCGCAUUCUCACUUCUCAACAAAUUAAAUGGCCCUCUGCCAAUUAAUUAGUAGUCCACUUUGGAAAACAAAAUAGCCCAUUUAGUUAAUUUAAAGGCCUAAACACUUCGGCCCAGACUAAAAUGAAUGAGAGUCCAAUUAAUGACCCCUUUCCCAUUUAUCUCGGAUGAUUCUCUUUCUCCCCUUUUUUUUUCUUUUUUUCUUCCAUUCCAAAAUUUCCAAAAUUGAAGUCACAGAGGCUGCGACGCCUCACCUCCCUCCUUUCCCUUCCUUCUCCGGCGAGUUCGCCGCCGCCCCCAGCGUCGGAUCCCUCUCCCUCUCUUCCUUUGUUCCUCGAUUUAAACCUCUCUUUCCAAAAUUCGGAUCCCUAAAUUUGCAAUCGGAGAACAGCAACGCCGUUCCUCCUCGUCGAAAUCGGUUGUCUCCAGGCGGCAGCUCUCCUUAGCGGAGCCCUCACGCAGCCUCCGGGGUCCCGUCGUUGCACUCACGCCACCAGCUUUGGCGAGCAGGGCCGCUGCCUCGCCGCCUCCGUCGCGUCGGUUAGGGGCUGUCCCUUUUGGAGUUUCAUGGGGCCGAAUUUCGAGAAGGAAAGAGAUGGAGGAAGGGAAGAGAAUCUACCCUUGUACCACUUUGAUUCCUAUACCAAUUUAUGAUACUCUCUAGAAUUCUAUUACUAGAGGUGGGAGAAGGGAUGAUGUAAUGUGGAUGUGUAGUCUCUUUCACUUAUGUAUCAUGCACUAUUAAUGUCUUCACAAUUUUAAGAAAUUGUAUCUCAAAUUGUUCCUCCAACAAAA
This is a long non-coding RNA of Salvia splendens (bonfire salvia), 1144 nucleotides long. RefSeq lists it as uncharacterized. Lineage: Eukaryota; Viridiplantae; Streptophyta; Magnoliopsida; Lamiales; Lamiaceae. The transcript is spliced from 2 exons. The record is from RefSeq and is a predicted model, not a curated record.